This 758-nucleotide long non-coding RNA is filed under the name Triticum aestivum (bread wheat). RNAcentral's name for it is "long non-coding RNA (TAES_LNC016822)". The record is from RNAcentral. Lineage: Eukaryota; Viridiplantae; Streptophyta; Magnoliopsida; Poales; Poaceae.
GAAGCAAUCCCACAUAGUACUUUCAUCAUGGACAACUAUAGGAACCGCUUCCAUACAUCAAUUGUGCUACUCUCGAUGCUUCUUCUCAUAUGCUUUACUGCCCGUGCGCAAUGUAUGUUUCAGACAAGCAACCUAUCCACUUAUUGUAAUACCUAAGUUGAUUAGUCUUUCCAAUACUGAUCUUCCAUUACCGAUCCAAUAAUGCAUAUGUUAUAUAUAAAUUCUUGUUGACUAGUGCAUAACUUUUACUUCUUCCGAAGUUCUUACAGUUUUUCUGAGUGGUUUUGUAUUUGUUCUUUGUUGAAUCAGUUACUUGUUAUAUAUUAGUAGUUGAUAAACACAGACUAAUAUGAAUAUUAACUUUGCAUAUGUUCUAUAGGCAGGGUCCUGGAAGACAUGGAAACCGUUAAGAUCAAUAUACAUGGUCUAUGCGUCUGUGAUCCGAACUGCAAAGACUCGAUGUGCAUAUGUUGUUUAGCAAAUAAAUACUGUUAUUCUACAGUGGAUUAUUGCAUGGAAGACUGUCCAAAGACUUCUCCAUCAGACCAAGCAGCGAUGAAACGUUCUCCAUCACCCUCUUAUCCAAUCUAGUCAUAUGGACGCUGAUGUGCUCAUGAAUAAUUUAUUAUGAUAAACUAUGUCGUAAUUGUUUUGCUUUUCAAGAGCUGAUAAGUUAUAUAUCAAUCUUCAUUAUGAGUUAAUUAGUCUCUAGACUCCACUAAUUUAAAAAGCACUAGUUAUUUUUCUUUGAAAAGCAG